RNAcentral lists this ribosomal RNA (388 nucleotides) under uncultured bacterium. Its description in RNAcentral is "bacterial SSU rRNA". It matches the Rfam family "Bacterial small subunit ribosomal RNA", at positions 28 to 417 of the family's 1533-position model. The record is from RNAcentral.
GACGAACGCUGGCGGCGUGCUUAACACAUGCAAGUCGAGCGGUAAGGCCCUUUCGGGGGUACACGAGCGGCGAACGGGUGAGUAACACGUGGGUGACCUGCCCUCAGCUCUGGGAUAAGCCUGGGAAACCGGGUCUAAUACCGGAUAUGACUCCAUGACGCAUGUUGUGGGGUGGAAAGCCUUGUGCGGCUGAGGAUGGGCCCGCGGCCUAUCAGCUUGUUGGUGGGGUGAUGGCCUACCAAGGCGACGACGGGUAGCCGGCCUGAGAGGGCGACCGGCCACACUGGGUCUGAGACACGGCCCAGACUCCUACGGGAGGCAGCAGUGGGGAAUCUUGCGCAAUGGGCGAAAGCCUGACGCAGCGACGCCGCGUGAGGGAUGACGGCCU